AUCUUGAUUUAAAACACAAAAAUCUGAGGAAAAGAGGGAGAGAGAGUUUUAGAACGUGAAAGAGAGAGAGAGAAAGAACUCAAGGAAAUAAGGAAGAGGGAAACUUGAAGAGAACAUUGAAGAUAAGCUAAUUUACAACAAAUUAACCAAGUACGGUGAUCAAUCUGGAGACCAAUCUUAGGUCAACCUCAAGUGUCCUUCCGUGGACCUGUUAUACCAAGUCUCCAAGGUGGAAGUCUUGCCCUUUUGAGAUACUUUGAGUAAAGUCUGUUUUUUUGUCAAGCCACCCAAGAUGCGCCUUUGUGUCGAGGCUUUAACUUUGUAUUGUUAGACUUCUGUAUUUAUUAUUGAGUCUUGUGUAUAUGUGUGUGAGAUAUAUAAGAGUUGUAUAUGAAGAUAACUUACUAGUGUGUCGAAAUGUUUUAAUUGUUCCAGUUAUCAUAUAUCCACAUGCUCAAUAGAUAUUGUUAUUUUGUUUUGCU
Long non-coding RNA from Camellia sinensis, 482 nucleotides. RefSeq lists it as uncharacterized. Lineage: Eukaryota; Viridiplantae; Streptophyta; Magnoliopsida; Ericales; Theaceae. The record is from RefSeq and is a predicted model, not a curated record.